RNAcentral lists this ribosomal RNA (425 nucleotides) under uncultured bacterium. RNAcentral describes it as "partial 16S ribosomal RNA". It matches the Rfam family "Bacterial small subunit ribosomal RNA", at positions 354 to 796 of the family's 1533-position model. The record is from RNAcentral.
GUGGGGAAUCUUAGACAAUGGGGGAAACCCUGAUCUAGCCAUGCCGCGUGAGCGAUGAAGGCCUUAGGGUUGUAAAGCUCUUUCAGCUGGGAAGAUAAUGACGGUACCAGCAGAAGAAGCCCCGGCUAACUCCGUGCCAGCAGCCGCGGUAAUACGGAGGGGGCUAGCGUUGUUCGGAAUUACUGGGCGUAAAGCGCGCGUAGGCGGACCAGAAAGUUGGAGGUGAAAUCCCAGGGCUCAACCUUGGAACUGCCUUUAAAACUCCUGGUCUGGAGUUCGAGAGAGGUGAGUGGAAUUCCGAGUGUAGAGGUGAAAUUCGUAGAUAUUCGGAGGAACACCAGUGGCGAAGGCGGCUCACUGGCUCGAUACUGACGCUGAGGUGCGAAAGCGUGGGGAGCAAACAGGAUUAGAUACCCCAGUAGUCC